AUUGAACGCUGGCGGCAGGCUUAACACAUGCGAGUCGAGCGGGGAAGAGUAGCUUGCUACUUGACCUAGCGGCGGACGGGUGAGUAAUGCUUAGGAAUCUGCCUAUUAGUGGGGGACAACAUCUCGAAAGGGAUGCUAAUACCGCAUACGUCCUACGGGAGAAAGCAGGGGACCUUCGGGCCUUGCGCUAAUAGAUGAGCCUAAGUCGGAUUAGCUAGUUGGUGGGGUAAAGGCCUACCAAGGCGACGAUCUGUAGCGGGUCUGAGAGGAUGAUCCGCCACACUGGGACUGAGACACGGCCCAGACUCCUACGGGAGGCAGCAGUGGGGAAUAUUGGACAAUGGGGGGAACCCUGAUCCAGCCAUGCCGCGUGUGUGAAGAAGGCCUUUUGGUUGUAAAGCACUUUAAGCGAGGAGGAGGCUACCGAGAUUAAUACUCUUGGAUAGUGGACGUUACUCGCAGAAUAAGCACCGGCUAACUCUGUG
Molecule: ribosomal RNA, 485 nt
Filed under: uncultured bacterium
Lineage: Bacteria
Description: partial 16S ribosomal RNA
Rfam family: Bacterial small subunit ribosomal RNA
Source: RNAcentral